UCGAUUAUCUCCUUCAUCUUCACCUUCUUCACCAAAUCUAACCCAGAAACCAAUUAUCAGUUAUGAUCGAAACCCCGGAAAUUUUUGGCAGUAAUGAUCGAAAGUGCUUAUAACUGUCAGAAUCAAGCUAUAGUCUCUGUUAACUUUCGAUUUGAAGCUCCUCAAACCACUCUCCGUCCAGUAAAAGCUGUUGAAGAUGUUCAUCGCAGACUCUGUUCUCUAUCAUAUCCAAAAGGUUGGUUCUUCGAUGCAUCAAUUUUGUUUCUGUAAUUUUAAUUGAAGUUGAAGCUGAGGGAUUAUGUUUGUGUAACUCUGCUCAAAGCUGAGAGAUUUUUAUUUAUUUUGGCUCUUUUUUGAAGCCAGCGAUCUUUUUUUUUUUGGGAAAAUGAUUCAGUUAGACAUACAUUAGUUAACAAGACUGACAUUUUUGAUCUAGUAUUACUUGUUUAGCAUUUUAAUUGAUUGUUUGUAUGUCGUGUCAAUACUCCUUUGUGUUUGGUUACUAGUGGCUCUAUUCACAGUUUAGUUGUUUCAAUAUCUUGCAGGAGCUCGAUUAUACGCAAGUGAAGGACCUAAAGACUACAAUCUACUUGCUUACACCUACUUCUCCUCAACUUGAUGUGAAGAAAUCCCAAGAUAUUGUUCGUCCUGAGAGUUUGAGUUUGUUAGCUGAAGGUUAUGAUCGAUGUGUUCAAGUGUGUUCUGAAUAUGCUAAAACUUUUUAUCUUGGUUGGGAUCUUCUUCUUCUUUCAUUGCUGAGUUUUAUGUCCACGACAUAUAUGUCCACAUUUUAUAUAUCCAUAUUUUCUUUGUCCACAAACAAUUAAUCUACAAAAAAUAUUUUGUCAUGAUAAGUUUUUCAUAUCCAAAUUUCUAAAAUAUACUAAAAUGGAUAUUAAAAUGUUGACAACAAAAAGUUAUAAUUUAUUAUGUCUAAUUUAUUUAUUGAUAUACUUUAAUAUGUCAAAAUAAAUCACAUAAAGAAAGAGAGGGUAAUUUAUAAUAGUAAUUUCAAAAAAAUCAAAUAAAUCCAACCCUAUGAUCUAGUUUCAACAAAAUGGACAAUAUAUAUGUCCAACCUUAUGAUUUUUUGUAUCCACAAUAUAUAUGUCCACAUUUUAUUUGUUCACAAACAUUUAAUGGACAAUUUUUUUGUGGAUAUGAUUUUUUAUAUUCAAAAUUUUAAAAUAUAUUAAAACGGAUUUUAAAAUGUAGAAGAAAAAGUUAUAAUUUAUUAUAUUUAAUCUACUUAUUUAUAUACUUUAAUAUGUUAAAAUAAUCACAUAAAGAAAUAUAGGAAAAUUGAUAAUAGUAAUAUAAGAAAAUUAAAAAAUUAUAAU
This is a long non-coding RNA of Brassica rapa (field mustard), 1340 nucleotides long. RefSeq lists it as uncharacterized. NCBI's taxonomy places the organism in Eukaryota, Viridiplantae, Streptophyta, Magnoliopsida, Brassicales, Brassicaceae. The record is from RefSeq and is a predicted model, not a curated record.